RNAcentral lists this ribosomal RNA (776 nucleotides) under uncultured Neocallimastigales. RNAcentral's name for it is "partial large subunit ribosomal RNA". It matches the Rfam family "Eukaryotic large subunit ribosomal RNA", at positions 24 to 642 of the family's 3401-position model. Lineage: Eukaryota; Fungi; Neocallimastigomycota; Neocallimastigomycetes; Neocallimastigales. The record is from RNAcentral.
UAUCUCUGUAGAGUCUGCAUAUCAAUAAGCGGAGGAAAAGAAACUAACAAGGAUUCCCCUAGUAACGGCGAGUGAAGCGGGAAGAGCUCAAGUUUGAAAUCUUCAAGGUUUGACCUUGACGAAUUGUAGUUUAAAGAAGUGUUUUCGGUUAGAGGAGUAGUAAAAGUUCUUUGGAAUAGGACAUCAUAGAGGGUGAGAAUCCCGUAUUUGACUAUUCUUUCUAGCUUUGUGAUACACUUUCAAAGAGUCGGAUUGUUUGGGAAUGCAGUCCAAAAUAGGGUGGUAAAUUUCAUCUAAAGCUAAAUAUUGGCGAGAGACCGAUAGCGAACAAGUACCGUGAGGGAAAGAUGAAAAGAACUUUGAAAAGAGAGUUAAACAGUACGUGAAAUUGUCAAAAGGGAAGCGUUUGACACCAGUGUUGUUUUUCCGAAAAUCAAUUAAAAAUUGAUUCAUGCCAGGUUGUAUUGACCUUAUCAGCUUGCAAUUUGGUUUUGGGUCUCUUUUUGAUGCACUUUUCGGUUAACAAGUCAACAUCAAUUUCCUUUGCUGUAAAAAGGUAAGAGGAAGGUGGCUUCAAUUUCGGUUGAAGUGUUUAUAGCCUUUUAUCUCUGCAGUCGGGGAGAUUGAGGUCUGUAGCGUAGAUCCUUCGGGGCUAGAUACAUUUAUGCUAAGUUAUAGCUUUUCAUAGACAACUUGUUGACUAUGUUUAGUCAUGUAGGCUUACUCGUAAGUGCUAUUUUACCUACGCUUAGGAUGUUGAAGACUCUACAGAGAUA